AUUGAACGCUGGCGGAAUGCUUUACACAUGCAAGUCGAACGGCAGCACGGGGGCAACCCUGGUGGCGAGUGGCGAACGGGUGAGUAAUGUAUCGGAACGUGCCCAGUCGUGGGGGAUAACGUAGUGAAAAUUACGCUAAUACCGCAUACGAUCUACGGAUGAAAGCGGGGGAUCGCAAGACCUCGCGCGAUUGGAGCGGCCGAUAUCAGAUUAGCUAGUUGGUGGGGUAAAAGCCCACCAAGGCGACGAUCUGUAGCUGGUCUGAGAGGACGACCAGCCACACUGGAACUGAGACACGGUCCAGACUCCUACGGGAGGCAGCAGUGGGGAAUUUUGGGACAAUGGGCGCAAGCCUGAUCCAGCAAUGCCGCGUGCAGGAUGAAGGCCUUCGGGUUGUAAACGUGCUUUUGUACGGUAGCGAAACGGCGUCUCUUUAAUACUAGGGGCGUAAUGACGGUACCGUAAGAAUAAGACACCGGCUAACUACGUGCCAGCAGCCGCGGUAAC
This 507-nucleotide ribosomal RNA is filed under the name uncultured bacterium. Its description in RNAcentral is "bacterial SSU rRNA". It matches the Rfam family "Bacterial small subunit ribosomal RNA", at positions 30 to 524 of the family's 1533-position model. The record is from RNAcentral.